RNAcentral lists this ribosomal RNA (318 nucleotides) under Leptolyngbya sp. CCG34. RNAcentral's name for it is "bacterial SSU rRNA". It matches the Rfam family "Bacterial small subunit ribosomal RNA", at positions 28 to 371 of the family's 1533-position model. Lineage: Bacteria; Bacillati; Cyanobacteriota; Cyanophyceae; Leptolyngbyales; Leptolyngbyaceae. The record is from RNAcentral.
GAUGAACGCUGGCGGUAUGCUUAACACAUGCAAGUCGAACGGAAGUCUUUCGGGACUUUAGUGGCGGACGGGUGAGUAACGCGUGAGGAUCUGCCUACAGGACUGGGACAACAGCUGGAAACGGCUGCUAAAACCGGAUGUGCCGAGAGGUGAAAUAUUAAUAGCCUGUAGAUGAGCUCGCGUCUGAUUAGCUAGUUGGUGAGGUAAGGGCUCACCAAGGCGACGAUCAGUAGCUGGUCUGAGAGGACGAUCAGCCACACUGGGACUGAGACACGGCCCAGACUCCUACGGGAGGCAGCAGUGGGGAAUUUUCCGCAA